Molecule: ribosomal RNA, 497 nt
Filed under: uncultured bacterium
Lineage: Bacteria
Description: partial 16S ribosomal RNA
Rfam family: Bacterial small subunit ribosomal RNA
Source: RNAcentral
GAUGAACGCUGGCGGCGUGCCUAAUACAUGCAAGUCGAGCGAACGGACGAGAAGCUUGCUUCUCUGAUGUUAGCGGCGGACGGGUGAGUAACACGUGGAUAACCUACCUAUAAGACUGGGAUAACUUCGGGAAACCGUAGCUAAUACCGGAUAAUAUUUUGAACCGCAUGGUUCAAAAGUGAAAGAGGGUCUUGCUGUCACUUAUAGAGGGAUCCGCGCUGCAUUAGCUAGUUGGUAAGGUAACGGCUUACCAAGGCAACGAUGCAUAGCCGACCUGAGAGGGUGAUCGGCCACACUGGAACUGAGACACGGUCCAGACUCCUACGGGAGGCAGCAGUAGGGAAUCUUCCGCAAUGGGCGAAAGCCUGACGGAGCAACGCCGCGUGAGUGAUGAAGGUCUUCGGAUCGUAAAACUCUGUUAUUAGGGAAGAACAUAUGUGUAAGUAACUGUGCACAUCUUGACGGUACCUAAUCAGAAAGCCACGGCUAACUACGUG